Long non-coding RNA from Panicum hallii, 1588 nucleotides. RefSeq lists it as uncharacterized. The transcript is spliced from 3 exons. The record is from RefSeq and is a predicted model, not a curated record. NCBI's taxonomy places the organism in Eukaryota, Viridiplantae, Streptophyta, Magnoliopsida, Poales, Poaceae.
GCCCGUAUCAACCGCGACAUGCGAUCCCUCUCCAGCCUCCGCUCUUGGUAAUCGUUCUGCCGCGAGCCACCUGGAGACGUCCGAUCGCUGGUUCAGGCGCAGCAACCCCAACCCCUCUACCCACCGUCCCGCACUCGCCAUCACCAGCCAAAUCAUCGCCGCAAAGUUCUUCUUCACGCUCGAUUCUGGCUAGCUGUGGCGACGGAUCCGCGGCAAGCGAUCGAUUGAUUCCACAAAAUGCGCUCCAUCUUGACGCAGAGGCCCAUCAGUGCCGCCGCCAUCCACGUGAAGCGACGCAGUCGAUGGCCCGCCCCGACUGCGCACCCAUGGUUGCCCUCUGCACGGUCGCUGCUCUUGCGCCCUCGACCUCGCGUCCCCGCUGCCCCUGACCUCGAUGGAGCCGCGCGGCUGUGUGCGUCGCUCGCCUGCUCCCGCUACAUGCCGGCGCGGCCGCUCAUGGCGUGCUUCGUUCAGCGGUGGAAGCUUGGACGUGAGGUCGUGGGUUGAGCAGUGGGAUCACCUGUAUGAGGCGCCAUCAGAGUGUUGUAGACGCCAAACUACAGCAAUUGCACGCCACGGUGAGUGAUAACUGAUUUUACUUCCGCUCGUGAUUUGGUUGCCUGAUUACCUUUGGUUGCAUUAGCAAUUAGAAUUCACACAGGUAACUGCCUAACUGGUUUCCGUCAGCCUCCAUUCUAAUGAAGUUCAGUCAAGAGAAUGAUUUUUAGUAUAGCCCUAAAAACUGAUAUUGAUCUGGUUCUUAUUAAUUUAACAACAAAUGGCAUGUUUUCUGUACUCGACUAAUUAACUGAUGGCCUACUCAUUUUUCUUACUGAUUUCCUGUGCAUUAUGUGUUAGUUUGAUCUCAACCCCGGAUCGGUCCAACGACCGAUCCGGAGUCUGUUACGCGCCCCGAUCGGGGGCGCACAGCCAAGCCAAUGGCAUGUGGGCCCCCGUCGCGCAGCGCCAAAAUAAAAGAAGAGGUGGGGGCGGCGCACGCGGAACGAGGUUCACCGCGUUGCCUGUAGCCCCACCAAAACCCUAGCCCGAUCCGAUCUAAGGGGCGCUGAAGCGACGGGAAGCUCCACAGCCACUGCACCGCAUCGCCGCCGUCUCACCCUCGACCUCUACUCCGGCUAGAUCUCUUCUUCGCGUCAUCAACCGGAGGAUCUAAUGCAAUGACUUUUAUUAAUACUAUACCGCCGUUGGAUGGUUCCAACUACGGGAUAUGGGCACAGAAGCUAGAAGUGGCUCUCGCACUGUCAGAUAUUGACUUAGCUAUCACCUCACAGUUUCCCGUUGGUCCCGAGGAACUGGUGCGGGACCCGGAUGAGAGCUCUGCCGCUUGGCAAGCUCGCCAAAGAGAACAUGCAAAUGUUCAAAUGAAAUAUGAUCUUGAGAGAGCAAAAUGGAACUCUUCCAACAGAAAGUGCCUGAUGGUCAUCAAGAGUUCCAUUAUAGACAGUAUCAGGGGAGCAAUCCCAGAUUGCGCCACCGCAGUUGAGUACUUGAAGAAAGUUGAGAGUCAAUUUGUUGGCUCUUCAAAAGCUUAUGCGCAAACUCUGAUUCAGAGGUUAGUAAAUGACAA